UAACAUCUUCAGUAAGACAUUAUUGUACAGUGAUUCCUUACCCAGGUAUGUAACAUCUCCAGUAAGACAUUAUUGUACAGUGAUUCCUUACCCAGGUAUGUAACAUCUCCAGUAAGACAUCAUUGUAUACAGUGAUUCCUUACCCAGGUAUGUAACAUCUCCAGUAAGACAUCAUUGUAUACAGUGAUUCCUUACCCAGGUAUGUAACAUCUCCAGUAAGACAUUAUUGUAUACAGUGAUUCCUUACCCAGGUAUGUAACAUCUCCAGUAAGACAUUGUACAGUGAUUCCUUACCCAGGUAUGUAACAUCUCCAGUAAGACAUUGUACAGUGAUUCCUUACCCAGGUAUGUAACAUCUACAGUAAGACAUUGUACAGUGAUUCCUUACCCAGGUAUGUAACAUCUCCAGUAAGACAUUAUUGUACAGUGAUUCCUUACCCAGGUAUGUAACAUCUCCAGUAAGACAUUGUACAGUGAUUCCUUACCCAGGUAUGUAACAUCUCCAGUAAGACAUUAUUGUAUACAGUGAUUCCUUACCCAGGUAUGUAACAUCUCCAGUAAGACAUUAUUGUACAGUGAUUCCUUACCCAGGUAUGUAACAUCUCCAGUAAGACAUUAUUGUACAGUGAUUCCUUACCCAGGUAUGUAACAUCUCCAGUAAAACAUUAUUGUAUACAGUGAUUCCUUACCCAGGUAUG
Molecule: long non-coding RNA, 698 nt
Organism: Pecten maximus
Lineage: Eukaryota; Metazoa; Mollusca; Bivalvia; Pectinida; Pectinidae
Exons: 3
Source: RefSeq, a predicted model, not a curated record